UCCACUUCAGAGAACACGCCGCAUAAUUGUAUAAAGUCUGCAGUAAGCCUCGAUUUUGGACUGUAUGCUGUAGUGGUGAAAACAACAGGACCUACUUUUGUCAUUCUAUCUAUUUGGAUUUAAAAUUGUGAAAGCCAUGACAAAGGUGACUGCGUUGUUUACCAUAGGCCUCGUCCUCAUAUACCACGCGUCUGAGACAUGUGCCCUCAAACGACGCCCAGAAUGCUGUCAGCAUUGCAAAGCCGAGGAAAUUUGUAAAAUUGAUCACGACAAAUGUGUUUGUCACCCUCGUCAUGGUGAACAUAACGCUCAUUGGAAGAAAAAGAUUCGUCUUCACAGAGGUGGGCAUAUUAUCGACAAAAGAUACGUUUACUGAUUGGCUUCGACAGAUGUCCACAGCAUUGAGAAAUGUCCCUAAAACUUAUUUAAAUGAGAGGACAUUGCAUGCCUAAAGUGCUGCAUUUGAUUAUGCCAUUUAAAAAAAUGUUUGUUGAUGAAGGUGUGAAAGGAUUAAAAAUAUGGUCCUUAAGGAAUUCUUGCAAAACAUGUCUGUUAUCUGUCUGUCUUGCUGUAUAAUGUAAAUGAGCUAUUUUAAAACCGUAUGUUUUAAGUAUAUGAUUCUGAAUAAAUGUUCUGCUUUU
Mya arenaria is the source of this 641-nucleotide long non-coding RNA. RefSeq lists it as uncharacterized. The record is from RefSeq and is a predicted model, not a curated record. Lineage: Eukaryota; Metazoa; Mollusca; Bivalvia; Myida; Myidae. The transcript has 2 exons.